GUCGAGUGCGCGCCUGUAGCAAUACAGGUGGCGCACGGCGCACGGGUGCGUAACACGUGGGUAAUCUGCCCUUCGAAGGGGAAUAACUCGCCGAAAGGCGAGCUAAUUCCGCAUAACAUUCCAAGAACUUUGGUUUUUGGACUCAAAGGCGUAAGUCGUCGGAGGAGGAGCCCGCGCACGAUUAGCUAGUUGGUAGGGUAACGGCCUACCAAGGCUAUGAUCGUUAGCUGGUCUGAGAGGAUGGCCAGCCACACUGGAACUGAGACACGGUCCAGACUCCUACGGGAGGCAGCAGUGGGGAAUCUUGCACAAUGGGCGAAAGCCUGAUGCAGCGACGCCGCGUGGGGGAUGAAGCUUCUCGGAGUGUAAACCCCUUUCGACCCGGACGAAUGCCCCGCAAGGGGACUGACGGUACGGGUAUAAGAAGCCCCGGCUAACUACGUGCCAGCAGCCGCGGUAAGACGUAGGGGGCCAGCGUUGCUCGGAAUUACUGGGUGUAAAGGGUUCGUAGGCGGUGUGGCAAGUCGGGAGUGAAAUCUCUGGGCUCAACCCAGAGUCUGCUUCCGAAACUGCUGUGCUUGAGUGUGGGAGAGGCGCGUGGAAUUGCAGGUGUAGCGGUGAAAUGCGUAGAUAUCUGCAGGAACACCCGUGGCGAAAGCGGCGCGCUGGACCACUACUGACGCUGAGGAACGAAAGCUAGGGGAGCAAACAGGAUUAGAUACCCUGGUAGUCCUAGCCCUAAACGAUCA
RNAcentral lists this ribosomal RNA (749 nucleotides) under uncultured Acidobacteriota bacterium. Its description in RNAcentral is "bacterial SSU rRNA". It matches the Rfam family "Bacterial small subunit ribosomal RNA", at positions 61 to 812 of the family's 1533-position model. Lineage: Bacteria; Pseudomonadati; Acidobacteriota. The record is from RNAcentral.